GGGGCGAAGGAGCGGCGGGGCCAAGUUGGGCGCCGGGCGGGAGCCGAGACCGCCGCGGACCCCGCAAUCCCGCAGCCGGCGACUGGAGCCCACCUCUGCGGAGACAAAGAUGCUCGAGGAUUCAGCAAACACUGGGGAAGCAGAGGACAGAGGUUUGGUCGUGAAAUAGCAACACCUUCUGCACUGAAGAAUAAUUAAACAAUAUUUUUAAUUAUACAGGAAAAUCAAGCACGUUGUUGGACCCUCCCAAGCUAGAGCACUUUACACUGGUCUGUAUGUGUGGAACUGAACAGAGCUUGUUCAAUUCUGAAAUAUUCUGAGAAAUUACUUCAAUUGUCAAUUUUCCUCUACCCAAAUAAAGGCAGAGCUUUA
Molecule: long non-coding RNA, 372 nt
Organism: Aethalodelphis obliquidens (Pacific white-sided dolphin)
Lineage: Eukaryota; Metazoa; Chordata; Mammalia; Artiodactyla; Delphinidae
Exons: 2
Source: RefSeq, a predicted model, not a curated record